GUGGUCGUAGAAGACGUAGAAAAUGAAAGUGGGCGAAUGCGCCACUUUCAUUUUGUGGACUCGUCUGAGAAGUUCUGUGCGCCGUCGUUGAAAGCGCCAGCGAGGCUUUGACGCUGCGGAGAUUCGCUCACUUCGCUGAGCAUACUCGUCAUCCGAGGCGUCAGUGACGAGUGGAGAAGUGUUAUCAGUGGUACCCAAGGCGGAAUCGUCGUACGCACACAACGGACGGCGCUACGAAAUGAUUCUUCCACCUCAAUGUAACAGUGGCUGCGGUGCUUGGCUGCUGACCCGAAUGUUGCGGCUUCGAUCCGGGCUGCAGUGGUCACAUUUAGAUGGACUCUAUAAAGGCAAAAUCGCUGAGGCUCGUGUACUGUGUAGUGUCAGCACACGUUAAGAAGCACCAGAUGACUGGAUAUAUGAACAGAACAACUUAGUAAGUAGUUACAGCGUAACUGUGGAAGCAAAGAACAAGAAGUAUUUUUUUGGGAGACUUACAAUUUACCUACACAAUCGUGAAAGUUUGUUGGCCUCCUGUGCAAAUAGGAGAUAUCACAUGUGUGUGUGGUCCCGAAGAGUCGUGCAUGUUAGCAUGGUGAGGCCUAGCGCCGUGAACAAGACCAUUCGCUUUGUCUUCGUCUGGGUCACCUUUCUUAGAAUGUCUCAUGUCAGGACAUGUCUUGCAUUGACGUGGCAGGAGUGUGUCAACACAGUACAAUGACGCAUUGAAAAAAAAAAUAAAAAGCAAUAGAA
Molecule: long non-coding RNA, 750 nt
Organism: Rhipicephalus microplus (southern cattle tick)
Lineage: Eukaryota; Metazoa; Arthropoda; Arachnida; Ixodida; Ixodidae
Source: RefSeq, a predicted model, not a curated record